GCCUAUCUAAGUGAUUGAUGGCAAACAAGUGUUCUCGCAUUCGUAAUGCGUAGGUCGCAGGUUCGACUCCUGUUUCCGGCACCA
This 84-nucleotide transfer RNA is filed under the name Stenotrophomonas maltophilia. Its description in RNAcentral is "tRNA-Thr". The record is from RNAcentral. Lineage: Bacteria; Pseudomonadati; Pseudomonadota; Gammaproteobacteria; Lysobacterales; Lysobacteraceae.